Molecule: long non-coding RNA, 3045 nt
Organism: Paramormyrops kingsleyae
Lineage: Eukaryota; Metazoa; Chordata; Actinopteri; Osteoglossiformes; Mormyridae
Source: RefSeq, a predicted model, not a curated record
GGCAAAUCUUUAAUUGGGUAGAAAGAUUAUCAAUUACAGAAUCAAGCGAUCGAUGCAUUUGUGUCCUGAGGUGAGGGGAGGCGUGUUGUUAAAACACGCAUGUUGUGCCCAGCUGAAAGAGAUCAACCUCUUGCCCUUCACAAUAUUAUGAAGUACAUUAUUGGGGUUUUUUUGUACGACGGAUAAUACAAUAGUCAAAUAAUUGUACUGUUUACCUAUAUAUAUAUAUAUAUAUAUAUGUAUACGUUUAUAAUUUAAACGUUCAAUGCUGAAUUUAACAUGAUUCCUAUUUGAAAAGUUAUUUUAAAAAUUAUUGUUCUAGAAUUACUGGCAAAAUUUAAGUAGAUUAAAUUUAGAAUGUUUGGUUAAGCCAGUUUUCGGUGUUAACUAUGUUACAAAGUCAGAAAUUUGCCCACACAGUUCACCUACUUGAUACUGCACAACAUUAAGGCCUACUGUCAAAGACGAAAAAGAGCGCACAGAUAAUACAGCAUAAGGCCAUAAAAGAUAAACCAUCCAUUCUGAGCUAUUGUGUUGAACAGAGAAUUUUUUUUGAGCGUCUGGUGCCUGUAUUUGAGUCACAGGGAACGACCAGUGUGGCGUAGGCUGAAUUAUUUAAUAAAUGUUGCCUAUUGCUAUUAGUCUUUAUUAUAAGGUACGGUGGCUCUUCUGACACUUUAUAUUGAUUUGUCCAAUUUCGUGGUUGACGUGGCACUGUGGUAUAACGUGCUAUUUGUAUAUAUUUAAAUGACCAUGUGACAAGGUGCAUGAAGAUUGUCUAGGAAGCAUCUGUCAUCGAUCAGGACAGAUUGGCGGAAGGAAAAAUGUUGUAUCAAACAGUAUCGGUCUCACACGUUUAGCGAUCCUCGCCGCAGAGGUGCAGUCCGGUCUUUCGUCUAAAUUUACAGGCAUGAAAUUGGUAUGAAGCCGCAAAGGAGGCUGAUUUGCGGGGUAGAUGGCGUCUAGCUCUGAAUACUCACACCAACAUUUGACCGUGAGCAGACGCUCGGCGGAAACUGUGGAAAAGGGGUCUACCCUUAUUUGUAUACAGAUCUAGGAAGCUUGUAUUACAUGUUACAAGAUUCGACAUUAAAGUCUUCCGGAAACAAAAGGCGAUGCAGUUCAAAAGUCAAAUGGAGGUCGGCUUACACAGCUCCUCUGUAGUCGCCGAUCAAACCUGUUGAAAAACGCGACGCCCGACCUCCAGUGAAAUUCUGCAUUGCGUUGAUAUAAGAAGUUACACCACGCAUGCUAUGCGGGUGAGUCGAACAGUGGAACCAUUUAAAGCUUAAUUAUCUUUUUGCCCAGAAUUUCUAUAUCAUAAAAUCGAUGGUAUGUCCAAAUCCUGAACAGCAGUCUGCAUUUGUCGUAAUAUUCAGUCAUAAACAUUUUGUGGCGAGGUUAUCUUCUGUUAAAAAGAAAAUUAAAUGUCAAUUAAUAUUGUUUUAAAAGUUUCUUAGUGUGUGCGUGUUUGUGUGUGACAUUUGAAAAAUUUUACUUCUCACAUUAGGCAAUGAUUAUGUUGUUGAUAAUUUUAUGUAUAAAAUUAUAUUUUUGAUCUUGUUUCUUCCCACGUUUUUAACACGCCGUUCACAUAAUUUAUGCAAGGGCCAAUAAUUCAUGUUAUGGUUUUAGAAACAUAUAUUUAUUUAGUUAUUCAUCUAUGCAUUUAAAUCUUAAUAUGAGAAAAUGUUUAUGCGAACUUUUACUUGUGAAGCUAACGGUCUCCUUAGCCAUUUGCGCCGUCUACUGGUAACAUCAAGAAAAUGAAAUAUCUAGGAAAACUUAUUCGAAAGCGAGCAAAGCGGAAACUUUUUGACAACAAUCUUUAAAAACGCUUUUACAAAUUAUCGAAGGCGAAACAUGAACUGACUCAUUUAAGCAUUUCUUGUCAAUUUACGAAAACACGUUACCAUUAUCAAUGCAUGUCUUCUUCACCUUGUGACGUAAAAUGGGAUGAAAAUGCAGUGAACGUGCCUAAGACUAAGCGGUUUUUAAAAAAUAUAUGGCCUGAAAUAUUUAACUAUUUUUUCAAGGAUUAGAUAGUGUUGGUCAUAGAGAUUUAAUUAGGCAAAUUGUGUUGUAAAUAAAUAAUAAGUGAAUUACUUAUUUAGAUGUAAUGUGAUAUCUUCUUUUUCAUUUCAGUGUUUCAGGUUAAACCUAUAUUUAAAUAUUUAAAUAUAACAUGGUAAUAUUUAAAGAACGUAUUAAUAUUAGAUGCAUCGUCACUUGCGACAACACCAACACGCAAGCACUGUCCAGUAGUACAGACUGAUCUCACGGCAGACGCGCACUUGUCCCGGGAGAUUAAAUAACACGUGUAUUGAAACAUAUAGACAAGGGUUAGAAAGUUAAAGUUUAUUUAUGAAUAUCUAGACAUUAGUCUAACUAGAUUAACUAAAUUUCUAUAGAAAAAAGCAAUUUUAUAAAUCUAACAUUAUAUUACAAAUAUCGGUAAUUUAUAUUUGUUAUUGCAAUAUGUGUAAUUAUUAUUAUUAUUAUUAUUAUUGUUAUUAUUAUUAUUAUUAUUAUUAUUAUUAUUACCUCUAGUAUUACUACCACUACUAGCUACUACUACACUUUGCUGUGGAAGCACAACUGUAAAUUAGUUUCUAUCCGCUUGUUCUGUUAUUUUCAGAUUCGCAUUUUUAACGGUGACAUGGAUCAAAAGUAUAUCGGAUCGUUUUUUGUCACUUUAUUAAUUCAGCCCUAACCAGAAGUAAACUUGUUUUGCAGCGCUUAAACUUCGUCGAUGGAUCGAUAUUUUGCUCUCCUGAUGCAACGGACGGAAUUUGCUUCGUGUAUGUACAGUAUAUCCGCCUUCUUUAAGUAUAUGUGCUGCAAGAAACGUAAAAAUACUGAUUUAUGGAAAAAUGCGCUGGUUUCUUCAAGAAUGCAUCGCUUUCCUCAAGAAAAACGCUUGAUUAAAAUUAAACGGUGUGUUAUGGAUUAAGCUAUGAAGUUGUUCUGCAUAAAUGUAUGUGCAUAUAUGAAAUAUAUUAAAUAGGCCUAUUAAAAACUUUUUUUGGAAAAAAUACAUACUUA